Molecule: ribosomal RNA, 161 nt
Filed under: Glaucomaria rupicola
Lineage: Eukaryota; Fungi; Ascomycota; Lecanoromycetes; Lecanorales; Lecanoraceae
Description: 5.8S ribosomal RNA
Rfam family: 5.8S ribosomal RNA
About the family: 5.8S ribosomal RNA (5.8S rRNA) is a component of the large subunit of the eukaryotic ribosome.
Source: RNAcentral
AAACUUUCAACAACGGAUCUUUUUCUUGGUUCUGGCAUCGAUAAGAACGCAGCGAAAUGCGAUAAGUAAUGUGAAUUGCAGAAUUCAGUGAAUCAUCGAAUCUUUGAACGCACAUUGCGCCCCUCGGUAUUCCGGGGGGCAUGCCUGUUCGAGCGUCAUUA